GACAGAGGGUGCAAUCGUUGUUCGGAUUUACUGGGCGUAAAGCGCGUGUAGGCGGCUUUGCAAGUCGGAUGUGAAAUCCCACGGCUCAACCGUGGAAGUGCAUCCGAAACUGCAUCGCUCGAGUCUCGGAGAGGAAGGUGGAAUGCUUGGUGUAGAGGUGAAAUUCGUAGAUAUCAAGCAGAACACCUGCGGCGAAGGCGGCCUUCUGGACGAUGACUGACGCUGAGACGCGAAAGCGUGGGGAGCAAACAGG
This 253-nucleotide ribosomal RNA is filed under the name uncultured bacterium. RNAcentral's name for it is "partial 16S ribosomal RNA". It matches the Rfam family "Bacterial small subunit ribosomal RNA", at positions 524 to 776 of the family's 1533-position model. The record is from RNAcentral.